Molecule: long non-coding RNA, 4428 nt
Filed under: Macaca mulatta (Rhesus monkey)
Lineage: Eukaryota; Metazoa; Chordata; Mammalia; Primates; Cercopithecidae
Description: lncRNA (ENSMMUG00000055569.1)
Source: RNAcentral
UAUUCACUUGUUUUGCUUUAUCUACCUAGUUUUGCUUUAUUUUCCUCCAUAGCAAUAAGACCAUUUAAUAUAUAUUUAUAAGUUAUUUAUUUACUCAUGUUCUAUUUUUCCCCAUUAGAAUAUAAAACAAAAAUAUUUCUGUUUUAUUAACUGUACUAUCUCCCCUACCCAGAACAUGGACUGGUAUAGUAGGUAAGAAACAAUAUGUGUUGAAUGAAUGAAUAAUUAAUCCUAAAUACAAUAAUCAAGGGUGUUUAUUCAUUCAUUUGUUGAAUCAAAGAGAAUCAAACAAAUCUUGUUUCUGUCUCCAACAAAUGCUGGAACCUUCAGGAUUACUUGGUCCUGUAUAGGAAAUGUGUCAUUUUACAGCUGUGUAAAGUAGAAAGUAAUUUGUAGAAAACUGGUAGUAAUGCAAAUGAUGUUUUUCUUCAACAUGCAAAUCAAUUCUAUCUUGUGAAGCUUCAACUUGUCUUCCCCAUUGUCGAAGAAACCAGUUUUUUUAUACAUUUGUGAAUUUAUUUCACUAUUCUUCAUCUAUAUAUGUGUCUGUUCUGUGGAUUUUCCUUUGAACUAGCAUUCGCUUAUCAGUUCUCUCAAUUAAUGAGCUAAAUACAAUCUUUGACAUGUUUUUAUUUUAUAUUUGUAUGAGAGUCAUGAUUUUAUCUUUUUGGAAAUUUACUCUUUAACAAAUUUGUAAAUAUACCUUAUGCUUGAAUGUGACCUAUUUUAUCAAAGUGUAUCUUUGGUGAAGUCAUUUUAAAGCUAGGUACUUGAUGUUUUUGAGUUGGUUUGCUCACCUGUGAUGACUGAGUGAACUAAUACCUGGCAAGUAUAAAGGCAUGUUGGUAAAGGAGACGUAGAAGAAAUAGAUUAGAAGGCCAGGAUGAGUAAAAAUGUGGGAGGAUACUAGAUGUUAAACUCAAAAAAACUGGGAGGAGAUGUUGCCUUUGAAGAGAUCUGAGAUCUGAGAUCUGAUACCACAAAUGCCUUAAUGUGGCUGGCAUUCAUGAGAAGGUAUGCAACUAUUGAGGAAAUACGAAGAACUCAGAAUGUCAAGAGAGAAGAGGCACAACUGUUGGUAUGCCCAUUAUGUCCAGUGGAAACUUUCACUCUCAGAUGUGGAGGCCAUCUUCAUGACCACACGGUUCUGAGUUGACCUCCUUGAUGGUGCCUGAGUUGAUCCUUGGAAAUCAGCUACAUCCUAAUAGCUGACCACAAGGCAGCAGUCUGCCUAGGAAGCACUAGACCAGCAUUAUAAGUAUUGUGCCACACAGUGUCCAGCCAUGAACAGAAUAGCAAUGCUCCAUCUUUGCUAGAGGACCACUUGGAGAGAAGCAUAUUAUCCUUAGCCAUUAAGUACAGACACAAAGAGGCGGGCCCCAGUGGACUCCAGGACAAGUUGGAAAAGCCUUUGCUGCAGACAGAACCAGCUGCAUUUGAAAACCUGUCUUGCUAAAUUGAGAGCACUUUGGACCUUCCUUUUAACUUCAGAGUUACCUCUCUAGAUGCUGGUCAGUCCGACAAGGUUUAUUUAGUGACACGAGGCUGAGAAGAUGAAUAUCCUCACGCUCAGUUAUUUACAUAAAGCUAAGUAGCAAAGCCUGUGAUGUUAUAAUCAGGUACCUAUCUACAGGACAGUUUUGAAUGACACAGGGUAUGAAAAAUGUUUACUCUAGUUUACACUAUUUUUGAAUAUUGAUUAGUCUCUACAGUGAAAAUAUUAAUACUUUUUAAUGACCUAUAUGAUAAAACAUGUAUUUGAUUGGCUUCUUAUGGCAUUACUCUUACAAAAAGCUGGGAUGUCAUCAUGUGCAUUCUCUGCCUUUGAGCCUCUGAUGAUUCCAGUCAUUUCAGAAAGAUAGGGCUCUGCCCUCUUGCUUCUGAUUUGCUGGCAAUAGACCUUCAGCUAAUAGUAUAUCUGCUCAGCUGAAGAUGGAGUGCUAAUCUAGGGGGACUCGAAAUGGCUCUGUCAUUUUCUAGAUGACAGCUCCUAUUUUCCACUGGCUUCUGGCACAUGCGCUAUCAUCCAUCUAUGUCAAGAAGACACUUGCUUAUCUGGUUGCUAGAAAUGCUUUUGUUAAAAACACGUAACUGCAGUUCAUCAGUCUUGUGAGGAAGUUGUUGAUUUUGCUAAACUAAGUUUAAACUCCUCUGUGGUUUUCUGAUAUGACAUCUAUUUUUAUUAGAUAUUGUCAUGAUUAUUUAUAGCGUCUUAGAAGCAUACUAGAAUUUUUUUUUUUAAUAGCAAGUUAAUCAGCUGAUUGGUGCAAAACAAAAGUUUCAGGACCAGGUAUGCCCAUAUCAAAUUUCAUUCUUCAUUUUUAGGCAACCCUUAAUUAAGAAAUUACUGGCUAUAAGAAGAGAUAGAAGUUGAAUUAGGACCAUAAAAAAUCAAAAUUCAAUGCAAAUAAUGUAUGCCUCACAACAAACGAUGGCAAGUAUUUAAAAAAAUAAAACCAGUCAUCUGGUUAUAACUUAUGAAAUACUAUGAAACACCAAAGAAUAUCAUCUGUGAAUAUUCUUGAUCAAUUUGUAGAAGUAAAAUUUCUAUUUACACUGGAAAAGAUUUCUUUUUCUGGUAUUCUUUUUGUUUUGACCAGUCUGCUCUCAUUCUUUCUGGUUUGAUUAAGACUUGAUCAGUCCAAACUUGUGCAAACCCUGACUGAUCCCAACUAGCCGUAAGUAUUCAGGAAGCGGCUGAAGAGUUCCCAUUCAGGACAACCAGCUAAUAUUGGCUCAAAUCCUUUUGUCAAAUAUUAACUCACAGCCUAUAAGGUCAUUAACAGUGCCCAAGGCAAGGAUGCGCCUCCUAAUCUUUGAAGAGUAGUACCCAAAUGUCAAAACCAAGUGCUGUUUCCAGCUGUCCUUUCUCAUCCUUGCCCAUCUGAAAUACACCUUCGUGUUCUUUUCUCUUUCCUUCUUUUCUUCAUCCAAAUACAAACUCACAACUCUUUCUAUAGCUGCUGGGUCUACCAUGUGGCCUUUUCAUGACAUGGAUUGGGGAGUACCAGAUAGGGCACAUUUUGUGGCAGCCAUCUACUUUCUUUCAGCCUUUUAAAAACAGUGGCCAUGACUAUUACCAGAGAGAUGGUUGGAAAGAGCUGUUUUGAGAUUUGCUGCACCUCAGAAGCCUGUGUCUGAUGGAGGAGAAAUGAAGCCAGGAGCUGAAGCUAGUACCAUAAAGCUUUCCUGAGAGAUUUGAAUUGUGGAUGGGAAGUUAUGGCUUCUGGGCGUGGAAACAGCCCCAGAGCUCUGUUCUUGGGUCCGUUUUCUGUACCUUUCACUUAAGCUGAUGAAAUGGACGUGAUGAAGGAUAAGUGCCUGAACGUUUUUAACAUCUAAAAUAUGUGCAUAACAUUGGAUGUGUAAAUGAAAUUUAAAAAGGAGCAUAGCAAUUAAAUUGAAGAAACAAUGAGGCAUCUCUCAUAAACAGAAGCUCUGUAUUUCUUGAAAGAAAAAACACAUCGAAAAAUAAAGACAGAGAAAACAGAAAACGAAUUUAUUUACUUUUUAGCACAAGAUCAAGUUGGAAGAGAUUUGUCUAAAAUGGGUAAUGACAUCAAUUUUAUGAUAAAGAAUUAUAUUUCUAAUAACAAAAAGUGCUUCUAAUUAGUUAUAUUGAUAUUCAAGUAGUUGUAAAUUGAGGGAAAAUAUUUGAUAUUAAGUUAUUUACUUUUUAAAAAUACUUGCAGUUAAGAUGCUCAUUUUUAAAAAACCAAAUUUCAUGUUGAUUAUUUUGCAACUUUAUGAGUACAUACACACCUAAAUAUUUUUAAAAACAUAGCAAGUGCUUCGUUUUCUCCUCGCAUCUCUGUCUGACUCUUUUAAAAAUAGAUGAAUCCAUUGCUAUAAAGCAGAACAAAACCAAAUAAAAUGCAUAUGAACUUCAGCCCCACAAAUUUGAGCAAAACUUUCAAACAAUGGAUACUUUGAAUAUUUUGUACUAAUCCUAUUUAACUAUUUUUUAUGUCACUUCUUCAACUAUAUGUAUCAGUAAGAAAUUAACUGCCUAUAAAAAUUUGACAGUUAUAUCCUAGAUUUUCAGAGUGGUAUAGGUCAAUAUUUUCAAUAUAAAAAUUUAUCUUACAAUAUAUGCUUUUAUAAGGGAGUGAUAACAAUGGUUUACUUAUGCAGCUGUGACAUACUGGACGAAGAAAGAGCUUUGCUAUCAGGAGAUGAGGGCUAAUACCUAGCAUAUGUCAAACGUGCUAGCAGUGGUGUUCCUAUUGUAUUCUGACAACAGAAUCAGAAGAAAUAGUGUUAAGCUGAGGAAAAAAGAUUUGGGGCAAGGAACAGUUUUCCAGAUGAGGGGUUAAGAAACAUUGCUUACUUAAUAAGACAUUUUAAAAUUCUUUUUUAAGCACCAGCAUGGGGUGACCUCCAGAGACCAGCUUUUACAGAGAGGCUUGACACUCAGUUGCAUUUUUC